GAUGAACGCUGGCGGCGUGCCUAAUACAUGCAAGUCGAACGCAUAGCGAAAGGUGCUUGCACCUUUCAAGUGAGUGGCGAACGGGUGAGUAACACGUGGACAACCUGCCUCAAGGCUGGGGAUAACAUUUGGAAACAGAUUCUAAUACCGAAUAAAACUUAGUGUCGCAUGACACAAAGUUAAAAGGCGCUUCGGCGUCACCUAGAGAUGGAUCCGCGGUGCAUUAGUUAGUUGGUGGGGUAAAGGCCUACCAAGACAAUGAUGCAUAGCCGAGUUGAGAGACUGAUCGGCCACAUUGGGACUGAGACACGGCCCAAACUCCUACGGGAGGCUGCAGUAGGGAAUCUUCCACAAUGGGCGAAAGCCUGAUGGAGCAACGCCGCGUGUGUGAUGAAGGCUUUCGGGUCGUAAAGCACUGUUGUAUGGGAAGAACAGCUAGAAUAGGAAAUGAUUUUAGUUUGACGGUACCAGAACAGAAAGGGACGGCUAAAUACGUG
RNAcentral lists this ribosomal RNA (497 nucleotides) under uncultured bacterium. RNAcentral's name for it is "partial 16S ribosomal RNA". It matches the Rfam family "Bacterial small subunit ribosomal RNA", at positions 28 to 507 of the family's 1533-position model. The record is from RNAcentral.